GCAUAACGCGAAGAACCUUACCUAGGCUUGACAUGCAUCUCUAAGCACGUGAAAGCGUGUGAACCCUUCCGGGGAAUUUGCACAGGUGCUGCAUGGCCGUCGUCAGCUCGUGUCGUGAGAUGUUCGGGGUUAAGUACCCCGCAACGAGCGCAAACCCCUUGUGACUAGUUGCCAGCACGUCAUGGUGGGAACUCUAGUCAGACUGCCCAGAUCAACUGGGAGGAAGGUGGGGACGACGUCAGGUCAGUAUGGCCCUUACGCCUAGGGCUGCACACGUACUACAAUGCCCAGCACAAUGAGAACCGAGACCGCGAGGUGGAGGAAAUCUUAAAAAACUGGGCCCAGUUCGGAUUGGAGGCUGCAACUCGCCUCCAUGAAGUUGGAAUCGCUAGUAAUGGCGCAUCAUCUACGGCGCCGUGAAUACGUUCCCGGGUCUUGUACACACCG
Molecule: ribosomal RNA, 447 nt
Filed under: uncultured bacterium
Lineage: Bacteria
Description: bacterial SSU rRNA
Rfam family: Bacterial small subunit ribosomal RNA
Source: RNAcentral